AGGACAAACGCUGGCGGCGUGUAUUAGGCAUGCAAGUCGAGCGAGAAGCUGACCUUCGGGUUGGCGGACAGCGGCGGACGGGUGAGUAACACGUGGAUAACCUACCUAGUAGUGGGGAACAACUCGCCGAAAGGCGGGCUAAUACCGCAUAACACUCCCGGUGAGAUUCCGGGUAGUAAAAGCUUCGGCGCUACUAGACGGGUCUGCGGUCGAUUAGUUUGUUGGUGGGGUAACGGCUCACCAAGGCGACGAUCGAUAGCUGGUCUGAGAGGAUGAUCAGCCACACGGGGACUGAGACACGGCCCCGACUCCUACGGGAGGCAGCAGCUAAGAAUCUGCGCAAUGGGCGAAAGCCUGACGCAGCAACGCCGCGGUGGGGGAGAAGGCCUUCGGGUUGUAAACCCGUUUGCGAGGGAAGAAGUUCUGACGGUACCUCGCGAAUAAGCCACGGCCUAACUACGUGUCAGCAGCCGAC
RNAcentral lists this ribosomal RNA (475 nucleotides) under uncultured soil bacterium. Its description in RNAcentral is "bacterial SSU rRNA". It matches the Rfam family "Bacterial small subunit ribosomal RNA", at positions 26 to 518 of the family's 1533-position model. The record is from RNAcentral.